This 844-nucleotide long non-coding RNA is filed under the name Mytilus galloprovincialis (Mediterranean mussel). The record is from RNAcentral. Lineage: Eukaryota; Metazoa; Mollusca; Bivalvia; Mytilida; Mytilidae.
AAAAAUAAACAACACACACUGAGAAUUCAAAAUUACACACUGAGAUUUUAAAAAGACACACUGAGAUGAAAUAAAUUGAAAAACACACACUGAGAAUUGUUAAUUACACACUGAGAUUUCAAAAAUACACACUGAGAUUAAUAUGCAAAUUACUAAUGAAUAUUCAUGAGAUGAAUAAUUCAACAAAUUAAUAUCUUGAUCUCAAGAACUCUUGUCAUUAUAAUGAAAUGCGAUUCCUUCAACCAACAUUCGUAAUAAAUUUCAAGACUUAACAUCGCUUAUAUUCAUCGGGUCUAAAUCAUUUAUAUAGGAUUUCUCUAUAUUUUUCUAUAAAUGAACUUUAUCUUAUAGUUAAUAGAAAAAUAAAAUAAAAAAGUGGGGUCACCUUUCAUUUGCGCUCACAAUCUGCCUUCGAAAGAAGCAUACAUUUUUGUAAAGGUGUUUUUUUUUCUGUUGAAGUAAUAGGAGAAAUAAAGGUAAUAUCGAAAUAAAAAAAGGAAAUUUAUUACAGAAAUCGCUAAAAUUUUACAAUAAUUUAGUUUUAGUACAGCUUAUAUGGAAAUUAUAUUAAAAAAGAUAGGUCACCGAUGAGUUGAAAAAGAUAUUUCAAUUUUAGAGCCAAAAAAUGGCAUGUUUCCACCAAAGGGAGAUAAUUUGGAACUUUUUCAAUGAUGUAUACAUUUUGAAAGUCAUCUGGGGCCAACACAAAUUGAUUGUUUUGAAUGAUUUUUGUACCAUAUGAUAAAGUAACAACUACAGAAGGAAAUAAAUAAAAUUUGUAAUGAAAAACAAAUGUUUGAUUUUUUUCUGAAAUUUUUAUACCCUCGAGCCUCCUUAAUCUUUU